Molecule: long non-coding RNA, 418 nt
Filed under: Vitis vinifera (wine grape)
Lineage: Eukaryota; Viridiplantae; Streptophyta; Magnoliopsida; Vitales; Vitaceae
Description: long non-coding RNA (VVIN_LNC005945)
Source: RNAcentral
UUUUUUUCUAGAGAGAUGACUAGUUACAGAGGAGGAGGCUUGCUGGUUCCAGGGAUCUAGGAGGAGAACGGACUGGAGAAGGAGAGCACGGAGGAAGAAAGUUGCUACAAGCGAGCUUGAGGUGGGUCUUUUGCCCCGUUUGAUUCAUUUUCUUCUCAUCUCUUCCUCAUUUUGGGUUUGCUUGGCAUUGCUUAUCAAUUUGGGUUAGAUUACACGUUGUAUUUCAUUGAUUUUCUGGAUCAUUUUCUUGUUGUUGAUUGUUGAUAUUGCUGAUUAUCAUAGCACUCUCGCCAUGACACCUUCGUCGUUCAUCACCACCUCCCUAGCCAUGGCCACUUUUACUACUCAUCAAACCAGCCCACUACCCAUUCCAUGAAUCCUAUGCACCCAUCCUACACCCAACAAACCCCAUGAAUCA